Molecule: ribosomal RNA, 207 nt
Filed under: uncultured bacterium
Lineage: Bacteria
Description: partial 16S ribosomal RNA
Rfam family: Bacterial small subunit ribosomal RNA
Source: RNAcentral
CAGGUAGGCGGCCUCGUAUGUCCUUUGUGAAAUCCCUCGGCUCAACCGAGGAAUUGCAGGGGAAACUGCGGGGCUUGAGUCCGGGAGAGGGGAGUGGAAUUCCCAGUGUAGCGGUGAAAUGCGUAGAUAUUGGGAGGAACACCAGUGGCGAAGGCGGCUCCCUGGACCGGUACUGACGCUGAGCUGCGAAAGCUAGGGGAGCGAACG